AGGUUUGAUGGCAAUGACGCAGCUAAUGAGGUUCUAACCGAGGCGCAUCUAUUGCUGCUUGAAAACUAUUUCCAAACCCCACACCCCCCCCCCCCCAAACACACACACCACAAAGGAUUUUCUGGAAGGGCUUCCCUCAGGGUUAAGCC
Molecule: small nuclear RNA, 149 nt
Organism: Rosa rugosa (rugosa rose)
Lineage: Eukaryota; Viridiplantae; Streptophyta; Magnoliopsida; Rosales; Rosaceae
Product: U4 spliceosomal RNA
Exons: 1
Source: RefSeq, a predicted model, not a curated record